UCAUUUCCGAAGAAAAAUAAAUAAAUCCAAGAGGGCCCAUGUGCUCUUGGACUUCAAGUCUGCAGACUAUGGCCUUUAGCCACAUUACAUACCUGGCCUUAUCUUGCUAUUUACAAUUCAUAACUAGCUAUUUACAAAAUAAGUUUACAGAAAUAAUCACCUUUUAUUUACAGCUUAACCCCCUUACUAAAAUAACCCUUUUGAUGAAACAAGCAAGGUUAUAUGAACUUUAAUCAAUGAAAGGGUUUAACUUUGCGACAUCAAAGGGGACAAACAUAAAACUAAAUAUAAAAGAAACUCAAGGCUAGACCUUACUUACAUUGGCUCAAAGUUUAAUACAUACUCCUUUCACACAACUGGAAAAAUGAUGGCCAAAUGAUAUUAUAUCCAAAACUUUGACACAAGAUUAAAGAUGCAUGUCACAACUUAAUUACUAACAUAUAAUCAUAAUAUUAUCCAACAUCUAAGAGCAUGUAACAAAAAAUGAAUUACAAUAAACCACUGAUACUACUAAUAUUUCCAAACAUCAUUAUCUUUCAUUCCAACUUGAUUUUAGGAGUUUACAUGGUCUGAAAGUUACCUGGACAGCAGAAGGAAGAAAAAUUCAGCAAAUCAACUAUUUCCAGAUCACAACAGAACAAUAGUUAAUAUUAGCAGCAACGCAGCAAAAGACAGCCAACACCCGGCAGACUUUUGAACUCAAGAAAAUGAACCAGAAUAACCAGCAAAGCAGUUGAAACUAGCCACUAGUAACUCCAAACAAAAUGCUUACAAGACCCCUCUACUUCUCUUAAAAGUAUUGCACCUUAAGAAUCAAACACACAAAGUUUUUUAUUCUCCGGAAGAUCACUCCAAGACUCAAAGUUCUCAAGCUUUCAGUUGUAAAAGAUGUUCUCUAUCUCUGUCCAGAAUAUUUCCCUAAGUGUGAAAGAACGACCUCUUUAAGUAGGAAAAAUAAUUCCUUUUGGACAGAUUUUGGUUCAUCAAAAAUUUGUCCAAAAGGACUAACUUUUGUGUGCCAAAACAGUCCACUUUUCACCAAAUUCUGACAUAAAGCAGAGCAGUUGCAUUUCCAGCAUGUUUAAAUAGUAAAAUACCCACCAACCAUGUAGUUUAAACUCAAGUAUUCAGCUUUUAUCUAUACAUGACUGAAAUUUAGCUUAUUCAGCUUAUCUAUCGAACUAAGUAUUUAGACAAACUAGAUUAGAAUGAAUUUGAUUUGUGCAAACUAACAUGGAACAACAACUGAAUUUCACAAGCUAAUGCUCGAAACAGAAAUUAAACGAACUUUGCUAAACUAUCACGAUUAAUAACAACUAAAUAUACGACUAACUAUAUAAACAAUUCAACUAAUCUUUGGGUUUUUCAUGAAAUUAAUAUAAAGACUUAAUUAUUAGACCGACUAGGUCGAAGAACUGAAAAUUCGAAUUUAACAACUCUAUACAAAAUAGCCGACCGACUAGGUCGAAGAACCAAAAAUCAGAACUAACAGAUAACAACGAACUACUCGAUCGGCUAGGUCGAAGAACUGAAAUUCAUAUUUAUAAAGUAACAUGUAAUUGAAAACUAAUACUCAUUGCUUAUAAAUAACAGAAACAUUAAUGGAAAUUAAACCUUUAAAACUAAUACCAAUUACAAAAGUGAUGAAAAGAUAAAAAAGAAGUAAGGUUUAUACCAAUCGAGGGCAUUUGACACUUUUCGAGCCAUGAGAAAAUGCCGGAGAUACCAAAUGGAGGCUGUCCAACCUCGAAAUGGAGUUUCUUUUUAGUACAUGCUGGACCCAUUGGAUUUUAGCGUCGUGCUAAAAAGAAACGAUCGUCUGAGUCAAAAAAUGCUAAAAACAGACCCUUUGCGGACAGGUGGCCACCAACGAGCUUGCUAAAAAAUAGUGGUCAGAGAUUGAAAUCUAAACUUACAUAUAUCAAUAGCUCUCCAAGAGAUCUAUCCAAAUGUGCUUGUAUUAUGGAAUGAGGAUGGCUAGAAUCUGACCAAUUUCAAAAGAAAUAGGGGCUAGGGUUUCGGUUCUUUUGAAGAUUUGUGUCGUUUGAGAAGGAUUCGAGGGAUUUGGGGCAUGGAUUAGGGUAGAAGAGGAGAAGAUGAAGAGAUUGGCGUUGUUUGGAAGGUGUUUGGCCACUGGAGGUUGGAAGCGCCGCCGUGGGGGACGGGCAGCAGAGGUGGAGGAAGAAAGAGUGAAUAGGGAGAAGUUAGGGUUUUAAGGUUUCGGGUUAUGGGAGAAAUGACCCAUUUUUCUGAUUUUAGAGGGCUUAUAUACCUCUUGGG
RNAcentral lists this long non-coding RNA (2280 nucleotides) under Nicotiana tabacum (common tobacco). RNAcentral describes it as "long non-coding RNA (NTAB_LNC013517)". The record is from RNAcentral. Lineage: Eukaryota; Viridiplantae; Streptophyta; Magnoliopsida; Solanales; Solanaceae.